UGAUGACCGUUCCUCCUGCUGCUCUGAGUCUUGGCAAACAGGAUUUUAGGUCAUCACAGAGUAUACUAGAUCUUAUUCACUCAGGGUAUAUGAGGCAGCGGGGCUGCCUGUACACUGAAAUUUGCGGGAUCUGACAGUU
This is a small nucleolar RNA of Lepisosteus oculatus (spotted gar), 139 nucleotides long. NCBI's taxonomy places the organism in Eukaryota, Metazoa, Chordata, Actinopteri, Semionotiformes, Lepisosteidae. The record is from Ensembl.